GACGAACGCUGGCGGCGUGCUUAACACAUGCAAGUCGAACGGAAAGGCCCUGCUCGCAGGGUACUCGAGUGGCGAACGGGUGAGUAACACGUGGGUGAUCUGCCCUGCACUUCGGGAUAAGCCUGGGAAACUGGGUCUAAUACCGGAUAGGAGCCAUUUUUAGUGUGAUGGUUGGAAAGUUUUUUCGGUGUAGGAUGAGCUCGCGGCCUAUCAGCUUGUUGGUGGGGUAAUGGCCUACCAAGGCGGCGACGGGUAGCCGGCCUGAGAGGGUGGACGGCCACAUUGGGACUGAGAUACGGCCCAGACGCCUACGGGAGGCAGCAGUGGGGAAUAUUGCACAAUGGGCGCAAGCCUGAUGCAGCGACGCCGCGUGGGGGAUGACGGCCUUCGGGUUGUAAACUCCUUUCGCUAGGGACGAAGCUUUUUGUGACGGUACCUAGAGAAGAAGCACCGGCUAACUACGUG
This 465-nucleotide ribosomal RNA is filed under the name uncultured bacterium. Its description in RNAcentral is "partial 16S ribosomal RNA". It matches the Rfam family "Bacterial small subunit ribosomal RNA", at positions 28 to 507 of the family's 1533-position model. The record is from RNAcentral.